Ictalurus punctatus (channel catfish) is the source of this 356-nucleotide long non-coding RNA. The record is from Ensembl. Lineage: Eukaryota; Metazoa; Chordata; Actinopteri; Siluriformes; Ictaluridae.
AGAUAUCAUCUCAUCAUUUCAAGAUAUAUCUCAUCAUUUCAAGUUCGGAGAGGAGUUCGGGAAGGCCCGACGCGACUUAUUCGGAAUUUAAAGCGGCCAGAUUUGCUGGACGAGCCGUCUGAUCCGAGCGUACCUGUUGUGAAAUCAGCUGUUUUGAUGUAAGAGAUAUCUGGAAACACUUUGCCCUUGAUGAAACGAGUCGAGUCCUGGAAUAAUUGGGAUCUGAUUCUCAAAGUGCAUCAUCCUUGUAAUCCAGCUACUGUUUCCUCCCUUCAGAUAUAUUCGUAUAUUGUUAUAUCGUUGCCGUGCCAACAGCUUCUCGGGUUAUAAAACCCCGGAGAGCGGUUACGGAGCAC